RNAcentral lists this ribosomal RNA (253 nucleotides) under uncultured bacterium. Its description in RNAcentral is "partial 16S ribosomal RNA". It matches the Rfam family "Bacterial small subunit ribosomal RNA", at positions 524 to 776 of the family's 1533-position model. The record is from RNAcentral.
UACGUAGGGUGCGAGCGUUGUCCGGAAUUAUUGGGCGUAAAGGGCUCGUAGGCGGUUUGUCGCGUCGGGAGUGAAAUCCACUGGCUUAACUGGUGGCUUGCUUUCGAUACGGGCAGACUGGAGGUAUGCAGGGGAGAACGGAACUCCUGGUGUAGCGGUGAAAUGCGCAGAUAUCAGGAGGAACACCGGUGGCGAAGGCGGAUCUCUGGGCCUUACCUGACGCUCAGGUGCGAAAGCUAGGGGAGCGAACAGG